Molecule: ribosomal RNA, 292 nt
Filed under: uncultured bacterium
Lineage: Bacteria
Description: partial 16S ribosomal RNA
Rfam family: Bacterial small subunit ribosomal RNA
Source: RNAcentral
GUGUCAGCAGCCGCGGUAAUACGAAGGGGGCAAGCGUUGUUCGGAAUUACUGGGCGUAAAGGGCGCGCAGGCGGCUUUGUAAGUCAGAUGUGAAAGCCCCGGGCUCAACCUGGGAAUAGCAUUUGGGACUGCAUGGCUAGAGAUCGGGAGAGGAGAGUGGAAUUCCCAGUGUAGAGGUGAAAUUCGUAGAUAUUGGGAAGAACACCGAUGGCGAAGGCAGCCAUCUGGACUGACACUGACGCUGAGGCGCGAAAGCGUGGGGAGCAAACAGGAUUAGAUACCCCGGUAGUCC